GGCCCCUGGGAUGUAUUGCCCUUUAAAGACAUGAUUUGGGCAUAAUGGAUUUGUGUUGUGCUGCUGCUGGCCCUUUAAGAACCAUCUGGGGACAUACUGUGGAGUUACUGGGUGGUCACCAUUUCCUGUAUCAGAAGCACAUGGUGAGAACAAUGGAUGGCGGCCAUUUUAACUCACAGACACUGUUUGGACUUUUCAACACGGUGCCAUCUCGCCAGUAUUUGGUGCACAGAGACAUCGUGCAGUGGUUUUGGACUAUACAGCAGGGGACACAUUAUACAGUGAUUGUUUUUCAUUUAGCCUGUGUAUGUUCUGCAGAAUCUGCAUUAAACUGUAUUUUCCAAAGUACUGAACGGAUCUGGGUGAAUUUUGGAUAUGUGGUUCACCCAGAUCCCCCGGUUCCAAGGAUAUACUUUUAUGGGGUUAUUGCAUGUUUUGGGGUCCCUGUGUGUUUUAUGAAACUGUAUUAUUUCUGGCCAGCAGAUAAUUGAGCUUUGUGUAUUGUAGAAACUCAA
RNAcentral lists this long non-coding RNA (515 nucleotides) under Pelobates cultripes (western spadefoot toad). The record is from RNAcentral. Lineage: Eukaryota; Metazoa; Chordata; Amphibia; Anura; Pelobatidae.